This 29400-nucleotide long non-coding RNA is filed under the name Zea mays. Its description in RNAcentral is "long non-coding RNA (ZMAY_LNC002145)". The record is from RNAcentral. Lineage: Eukaryota; Viridiplantae; Streptophyta; Magnoliopsida; Poales; Poaceae.
AUCCUUGGCACAUCUAACAAUACAAACCAUCGCAACGCAACAGCAACAACAGUUCCUACCAGCACUGAGCCACCUAGCCAUGGUGAACCCUGCCGCCUACUUGCAACAGCAACUGCUUGCAUCCAACCCACUUGCUCUGGCAAACGUAGUUGCACACCAGCAACAACAACAGCUGCAACAGUUUCUGCCAGCGCUCAGUCAACUAGCCAUGGUGAACCCUGCCGCCUACCUACAACAGCAACAACUGCUUUCAUCUACCCCGCUCGUUCUGGCCAAUGCACCUACAUACCUGCAACAACAAUUGUUGCAAUAGAAUCUACCAGCUCUGACUCAGCUAGCUAUGGCAAACCCUGCUGCCUACUUGCAACAGCUGCUUCCAUUCAACCAACUGAUUGUGUCGAACUCUGUUGCGUACCUACAACAACGACAAUAGUUACUUAAUCCACUAGCAGUGGCUACCCCAUUGGUCGCUGCCUUCCUACAGCAGCAACAAUUGCUGCCAUACAACCAGUUCUCUUUGAUGAACCCUGUCUUGUCGAGGCAGCAACCCAUCGUUGGAGGUGCCAUCUUUUAGAUUACAUAUGAGAUGUACUUGAUAAUGGCGCCCUCAUACCGGCAUGUGUUUCCUAGAAAUAAUCAAUAUAUUCAUUGAGAUUUAUCUCGAUAUAUUUCUGAACUAUGUUCAUUAUAUAAAUAAUUGAAAACAUCAAAUCAUAAUUAUAAACUCAUGCUUGGUCAAUACAUAGACAAUGCGAUAUUACUUCAACAUCCCAAUGAUGUCCUAGCCCAACCUCUUGAAUGUUACUGUUUUAAUGCGUGAGGGUAUAUUUAUAAGAUACACGUCACUAUUUGCGCUUUUUUUAGUACAUACAUAUUUUGUAUGUUGAUAUGAUAUAGUUAUGGACACAUGCUUUGACCAUGAAUAUUCAAAUCAGUUGUACUUGCACGAAGCAAAACAUAAUAUAAUUUAGGAGUACACUUAUAACUGUGUCCAAACAUGCUCACACAAAUUCAUACCACAUUAUAUUUUUUGGUAAAUAUUCCACACAUGUAUUUUUUACAAGAACCCAAAUUUUGCAGACAAAUGCAGCAUUAUAGACAUGUAGAAUUAUUUGAAGCCCGUGAACGUAACAACACCAAGGUCAUUAAAUCAACUGGACCCUAUGAGUAACAAUUUCGAUAUUGCAAACACCAAAUUAUAGAACUUAUUGGCUGAAAAAUUAUGAGCAAUGUGAAGUUUUAAUUAUUAUGCCAUAAAUAUAUCAAAUUAUUUUUUUGAGGAACGUAAAAAUUGCAUGGAAUGGGCUGCAUAACGUGCUAGCUCACUUCUAUGCUAGGUAGCAUUACCAAAGAUUGGAAUGUUGCUGAUGAACACCAAACCCACUCAAAUAAUAUUUAUAUUUGGGUUGUUUAGUUGUAAAAGUGAAGACCCAAGAUAAAAGUACCAAUUGUCCAAUGACAUUCGAUUAUUUUGUUCGGGGAGCACUUGGUGCGUCAUUUGGACUCGUAUCUUAGUCCAAUAGAUUGCAUUUUCCUUCAAUGUGUAGAAUCCGACAAAGUGCAUGUUCUAAAAUUGUAAAUCUAACUAAAUUAGAAAGCUUGUUACUAAUUUGAUGGUUAAUUAGGUGUAGCUCAUAAAACUAGAACCAACAUAGUUUGCACUCACAUGUUAUAGAAAAUAGGAGUAUCCAAGCACAAUUUGUGUGAGCAUCCAUGACACAAAUUAUAUAUAGACUGAUAUAAUUAAUUCCUUCAAAAAUAAAAAAAGGAAAAAAUAAAGUGUUUUUUGAUAAUGCAGGAUAUCUCCUUUAGCUAAUGAGGAGUACUAAAAAGAUGUUGCACUUUUGGGUGGCCAGAAUUCCUCAAUCAUAACUUUGACAUAAUUUUAAUCUGGAUCAUAUAUAUAGCAUCAUAUCUUAAUUAUUAAAUUAAUAUGGUUCCAUCAUCGUAUUAUUAAUUCAAUCCGAUAUAACCAUCAGAUCUUAAUUAUUAAAUUAAUCUGGAGCGUACAUUAGAUUAUCAAACCAAAUCAACCCGACAUAACCAUCGAAUGUUCCGCUAUGCACCUUAAGCGCAUGGUAUGGGGCUUAAUCAUCCGGAAUAACCAUCCAAUCUUCUGGUAAGCAUAGUAAGCGUAUGGUUCACGGCUUCGUCAUCCGGAAUAACCAUCAGAUUUUCUGGUGUGUACUGAAAGCAAAUGAUCCAGGGUUUUGGUACGUGAAACAUUGUUAGGUGAAUGCAGAUGCUGGCUACUGUUGCACAUGCGAACUGCUGUGUGGAAGCUGUUGGGUCCUCCUCUAUUAUGCGUGGCUUGUGGCGGGCUUGGACUGCUCUCAUGGCCUCACCAGCUGCAACGACCAGAGCGGUACCCCUUACUAAAGUAUGAAGACACGGAGCCUGUACGACGUUCUCUAGCCACACGGUGAACAACACCCAACCCCACCACAUGGGCGGCUUAGGGGGCACCACGUGGCGAGAAAAGAUGAUACAUCGCAGGAUGUAUCAGUUGGACCGGACCACCGCAAGAAAGCAUCGGACCCCUGUACGCAAAACCCGGAUCCCCGAUUAUGGUCCGGGACUCCCAAGCAAGCAUGUCGGGUCCCUUGGAUGGGGUCCAGAUCCCUCCGAGUAAGGUCCGGGCCACAACGAGGUCCCAUAACAGGGGAGACCCUGGCAUAAGCAAGGGUCCGAUACUGACACGUGUCCAGGCCUUAUCCUGUGCGCUUGCGCUCCCCGCUCAGGCGGAGACCCGAUGCUGCCACGUGGCUUGUUGCCCAUGACAUAAGCCAGCGGGCGGAGCCUGACGUAAGGCCUCUAGGCCGCGCGGUCUCUGCAUUUAUUGAGGAGAGGACGCGCCGCCUGUCCACCCUGCUGACAGGCAAAGUGCCCCCUCAGCAUUUAAUGCGUCCUGUCCACUCCGCAGGCAGGAGGCGCCAGGGCCAUCUUGCAGACGGUGCACCUGUCCAGUCCAUUGUCAAACAGUGCGCCCGUGCUGCGCGGCGCACUAUGCUCAUCAUCCCUUAUACGAGAAGCUUCCCCUGCACGCCGAUGCUACGCAGAUCUCGGAUGUCAGGGUGCAAGAAGAUUGCUCCAGCAACAAACAUUAGUAGCUCCAAGUACUACAUCCGUUAUGUUCCUGUGCCCACAUGUAGGGGCUCAGUGCUCUUGUACAUGCCCCCCUUAGCUAUAAAAGGGGAGGCAUGCAACGUUACGGAGGGGCUCUCUUGGACAAAAAACUGAGACUCUCAGCUCUCAAGCCUCCACAGCAAUCCAACACACACUGGAGUAGGGUAUUACACUCCGGCGGCCCGAACCACUCUAAAUCCUCACGUGUUCGUGUGCUCGGUGAUCGCUUAGCAAGACAGGUAAAACGCUUAAGCCCCUUCCUCAUCUUAGGAUUUAGGGCGGGUGCAUUCCACCACCCAGCCAGAGAAUUCCCUCUCCGACAUUUGGCACGCCAGGUAGGGGCCUAGGCAUUAGGUUUUUGCUUGUUUCUGUCACACCCUGGUUUCGGGUCACCAAGACCCGGGCGCGAACAUAAUCACCAGGUGUGCUGGGACCAAGUCUCACACAUAUGAUGAAUCAUGGCACAGGAUCGAAUGUCACAUCUUUACUACAUAACAGGAGUUUUAUACAAAAUAAAUAAUUACAUUAUAAGGAGACAACGGUCCAGCAACCCAAAGUUGACUGGCAGGCGACGGCCUAGACCUCUCACGAACUCGUCACAGCAUCCUCCAAGCGCCUCAUCCUGCGGUACCUGUUCUUGACCUGUGGGGGGGUGUGAGACAGCAAGAGUGAGCUCACAUACGUUCAUCGCUCAACAAGUUGUGGGGAAUAAUGUGCAUGAACUCGCCAAAGGUGGGAGCUCAUGUGAAGUGUAAGGCUUACCAAAGAGGAUGGUUAGAGCUGAGCAUUGCUUUUAAAGUUGGUCAAAAUUUUAUUAGCAGUUACUAAGUAUAAGUAAAUACCAACCCAAUUAAGUAGUAGAACAACAGUAACAACAUCACCUGCGAUGCAAUGCAUAUGACAAAUUGAAUUUAGUUCCAUAAAUUAAUCAUGUGAGUGUCCGAGCUGCUCAUGACCGUGAGCACGGCUAGUAUACCAGUUUUACACUCUGCAGAGGUUGCGCAUCUUUACCCACAAGUCAUGUUACCCAUCUGCCAAGAGACGGCCAAUCCCAUACACCUCUACCGAGGAGGCGAGGCAGGGUAAUACUACGAGGCCUUUACAAAGUUCCACUAGCUUCAGAAAACCCGCUACAGUUUAUAGGAAGCUCCAGUGCAGGAGUCCCUCGACUGACCACCAUCGCAGCAAAAUCAACCAAGGACCUCCCUACACUGACCACUCCCCUACCGCCCUUGCCCCUUUCAGGUAAGGUAAUCAUCCACUAGCUUUCCUAGUUAAUCAGCCAAGGGCGUCCAUAAUCCCUUGUGGUAGCACUGUUUUCCCGGGUGGUUCUCCAUGUUCCCAUUAACAUAAUGAUCUUAUCAUGAACAGUAAAUAAUAAACAAAUAAUAAAAGUAUAAUCAUGAAUAGUGUAUCUCCAUACCCAAAACCACAAUAAGCAAUAGCAAGUACUACCCAAGAAUUCAGUGGUAAACAAGGUAUAAAGAUAGUCAAAAUCUAGGGUAACCUAUUGGGUCCCAUCAAAAUUAACCUAUGCAGAUCAUUAUGAUUAAUAAGAACAUGACUGGGUAAAAAGAAGUGAUCAAGGGCACAACUUGCCUGGGACUUGAGAUUCCAGGUACCAACUUGCUCUUCAGGUGACACGUGUCCUCACUGCUAAACGUAGCAAUACAGACAAACAUGUAUAUGAAAAAUUAACAUCACACCAAACAUAAAAAUAAACUGCGUAAUAAUGAUCUACGCGUCGCUACGAGAUCGCAGAAAUAAGAAACACUAAAUUCAGAGCUACGAUUAUUGAGUUAUGAGUUUCCAAAAUUAUUUUAGUGUUUAGAAUAGAUUAAUCCAAAUGAACAAUUUUAAUUCAUGUUUCAUGGCUAAACAGUGUUACUAGUUGAUAGAAAAUAUUGAAACAAAAUUAAUGCAACUGGAACGGGUUAAAAAGGAGUUAAAAUGGAUUUAAUAUGAAUCAAGCAAGUUUCUUGGAUUAUUUUUAUAACAAAGAUCAUUAAUAAAACUAUUUCAUAAACUUUCUGGGAUGGGGCCACUAUUUCUCAUAAGCACAGGGUUAAAUACGCAAAUAAAAGGACCCGGUUAGAAUUAUUUUUGAACCAGCAUGGAUGGCGGGUUAGUUUCUAGUAAGCGCAGGGGCUUAUUAGCAAAAGGGGCGGGCCGAAGGGGUAUCACCCAGUAUCAGCCGUAGGAUAUGAUAUAUGUGGCUCGGAUUAGAUUAGAGCUUCAUCAAAACAGUAUGCGCUAUAGACCGUCGAUCCCGAGACCGACGGUUAGGAUUUUCAUGACGCCACAUCUCACACCAACCGCUCGAUUAGAUCAGACGGUACAGAUAUUCCUGGCCACAGCCUUAUCCACCACCCAAUCGUAGCCGCACGCCAACAAUCCAACGGUUCCAGUGCUUCACAUACCACUGUCUUCACCGGCAGCGGCGCCAGAGCGCAUGCCACGGCGGCGGACAACACCGGAGAGCACCCAAACCUCGCUGAGGGCCCCAAACGAUAUUUCGAGCAGCGUACACAUUCCAGGGAAAGCUACGAAUCUAAAGGGAGAGUUCUCACCAGGAUUUGAGGUCGUGACGUGCCCGGUCGCUGAUGUCGAGCGGAUCCAAGGUGGAGCCCAAUUCCGGUGAGCAAUCACAGGUACACCGGCCAACUCCCCCAUCCGGACAAGUUACCAACUCGUGCGAGUAGCACCUGGUGAUCUGCCCCGGCCAGGGAUUCAACUCACGACGGUGUUUCACAGGUUCCGCGCGCGGCGGCACUUACCCAAGCCCCACGGCGACAACGCUCGAGCUUCAAUGGAGCAGGAGAGAGUUGCGGCGAGGUCCGCAUUUAUACGCAUGGGAAGGUGUCCGUCUCCCAACUACCACGCGAGAUCGCCGGAGGAUCCCAUUACCCGGUCGGCGAAGACCACGGAGGGGAUUUGUGCGGCGGACGCGGGGCUUCGUUGCGAUCCUAGGAGAUUGAUUCGACAAAUGGGACCCACCAGUCGGUGGCUUGGUGACAAGCGCGCGUGGCAAAAGAGACUGGUUCGCGGGCCCCGCAUUUCAGAGACUGAGCGUGGCGGGGAAAAUUGGCAGGAAGGCCGAGGGUGCGCGCUUUAGUGGGCCGAGGGAGGCCGGAGCUGGGCCGAGCCAGGGAGGAAAUCAGACCAUGUGCGUUUUCUACUUUUGUUUUAUUUUUCUUUUAUAAUUUUUGUUUUGUUUCCAAAUCAAAAAUUCAAACUAAAUUCGAAUUCUGGUCUUAAUUUUCAGGUUUCAAACAUCAAACCAAAUUCUAAUUCUUCUAUUACUUGCACUGAAAUUAUUUAUUUAUUAUUCUUAUUUAUUAUUCUCCCUAUUGUUUAAAUAUGGAAGAAAGGAAUGGCUUUAUUAAAAUUUCCUUUCUCCCCUUUGUUUUAUAAUUUUUUUGAGGUCAAUUUAAAUUAUGAUUCCUUGAUUCAAAUAAGAUGCAUCACAGAAAUAACAUCAGCAUGAGGUACACAUUUCUUUAUUUAUUUAUUUGUUCUUUACAUAAUUUAAUGCCAUUAGUUGAGUAUGUAGAGAAAAAAAUAAAAAUAAAAAUCAAGGGAUCCCCAAAACACCCACUUAUUUGUUUAUCUAUUCAUUUUAUUAUUAUUUUGGAAAUAUAUUCAUUUUGGGAGUAGUAACUUCCAAAUUAUGAAUAUCUUUAAGGAAAGGUGUUUUGAUUUAAAACCUUUGGGGAAUUUUUCCUUAUUUUCACAAAAUUGAUCUUUAGGGUGUUACAGUUUCCUCGCUCAGCAUGAUGGUGCAAAUCGUGGAGCACCGCGCCAAGACUUCAACGGAUUUCCUGGUGAAGAAAGAAGCUGUUUCUUCCACGCCACAGGUUCCCAACCGCCCAGUGUCGGGCACUGCUGCUGUGCACGCUGCACGGCAGCAUACGGCUGCACAGACAUCCCGGACUCCGUCGAGGGCGGCUCCGGGAGCAUUGUUAGCAGCCAGGGAAUUGCUGCGUCACCCUCCAAGCUCCACGGCCUCACCGGGGGCCAUGAAGCAGUGGCAGGAUGACGUCAACCGACAGCUCGACAUGGCACAUUCUACCUCGACCAGGUCGAGGCCACAGUCAUCCCAUCGCCAAUAUGAGGCGUCGACGUCUAUGCGCUCACCCUCAGUGAGGGGUGCACAGACCAACGACCUCUGGGUAGAGCUCAACCACAGGCGUGCGGGAGAGGACGCCCGGGUCUCUUUAGAGAGGGCGUGCGAGCGCCGACAAAACAUCGAGGGUCGCAACCUCGAUCAAGACUUCGCUGAGGUAGUACCACAGGCCCCAAUGGGCACCCGGUCCCAAGCGGGUGUCCCCUUGGCCGGCGUAGGUUGCGCCGCUCUCGUGGAUCAUCUCCGCGCGGCAUCAUGGCCAUCAAAGUUUCGGCCACACCUGCCGGAAAAGUACGAUGGUACGUCAAACCCGUCGGAAUUCCUGCAGGUGUACGUCACCGCUAUCACAGCAGCAGGUGGAAACACCGCAAUGAUGGCGACAUAUUUUCAUGUCGCCUUAUCUGGACCUGCUCGGACUUGGCUCAUGAACCUCUCCCCAGGGUCAAUCUACUCCUGGGAAGAACUCUACGCUCGGUUCGUUGCGAACUUCGCCAGCGCUUACCAGCAACACGGUGUGGAGGCCCACCUCCACGCAGUGAGGCAGGAGCCCAGGGAGACUCUCCGGAUGUUCAUCUCCCGCUUCACCAAGGUGCAAGGUACUAUACCUCGCAUUUCCGAUGCUUCCAUCAUCACGGCCUUCCGCCAGGGAGUACGUGAUGAGAAAAUGUUGGAGAAGUUGGCCACGCAUGACGUGGAGAUUGUCCCCACACUCCUCGCUCUGGCCGACAAAUGCGCCAGAGCCGCCGAGGGUCGUGCAUGGCACUUGGCCCCACAGACUGGGGCUACCCAAUCGGGUGGCUCGGGUGCCAUCCCCCGGGACGGUAAGAAGAAAGAGAAGAAGGACCGCGACCACCAGAAGCCGCGGUCCACUGCGCUGGUCGUUGCAGUUGGGACUGGGGGCCGAGGCGACCGCAACAAACGCCCACGACCACAGAGGGGUAACAGCGGCUCAUGCCCUGUGCACCCCAACGGUCGCCACAACACCGUGGAGUGUCGCGAGAUCAUCGACCUCGCAAAACGCGUCAGCGAGCGGCACGAGUAGUCUUCUAAAGACGGCUCCCCACCUCGUCGCCGACCUGGCAAGGAAAGGGUCGACGACGGCGAGGUGGCCACGGCUGAACGGGACCUCGGGUAUCAGUCACUCGAGGGGGACCUGAAGGAUGUCUUCGUCGGAGACUCCCACUCCGGUGGUGACAACUAGAUGGACCCCCAGAUGGACCCCGUGCUCCCCGGUCUACGGGGCCGAAGCCUGCCUUCCUCCGGAAACCCUUCUGGACUCCCCACGGGUCCAGGCUUCUGACAAGUCCAUACAGAAAUGGCUACAGCACGAGGACGAGGACUCCCUCAUCAAACGCAGAUGGGAACCCAGGGUCGAGACCUAGUCCUACGGCAAGUACCAAACCAAGAAGGGCUCCGAAACUCUCCCCCAGCUGGGAAGGACCCUUCAAGGUGACGGGAAUACGCUGACCCGGGGGUGACUAUCUUGUUAUGACUGAAGGAGUGCCUCUUCCUGGUCACUGGAGCAUCUCUGUAAGUUCUAUCCAUAGGAGCAAGUCUGAGGGUCGAGUUUUUCUCCCUUUUGUAACUAGGUAACGCAUACGUGUACGCCAACCCGGUGAGGUCCGCCCUCAUAAGCCCGGCCUGUUGGUCUGCACCCAUGCAUGACAAGUUAUAAAGAAAAGAUUUACCCCCUCAGAUGUGCCUCUAUGAUAGUUUUAUCCUACUGCUCCAUGGUCUUACCUUGUAGUUUUCCGGAUCUUGUUUUAUCUAACCCACCCAAAUAGUUCCCUUUCCAUCGAACAUAAUGACAUCCGAAUUGAACAGCCAGGCUUGCAGUUUAGGACCUCUCUGCGAAAGAAGGAGGGCCCGAUAGCCUGUGGGCUGGUUCUAAAGAAUGGGAGCCCAUUCCAUGGGGUGGUCCGGAGCCUGUGUGGCCGAUUAGCCUGGUCCCGUACCCGAAAGCCUGCACACUCCACCACUCCGUGACGGGUACCCUAGUAUUUGGAGCUAUAAGUCCUAUGGGUCCGGCAACCUGGGGUCCGAAACUAGAGAAUGGACACUUGUCUCCUAGGGUGGUUCGGAGCCCGUGUAGUCGCUCAGCCUGGUUCCGUACCAUGGGCCCGCAUGAUCCACCACUCUGCGAUGGGUGUCCUAGUACCUAGAACCACCAUCCAGGGGGUCCGGACGCACAACUUGGCCUCCCAGACUAGACCCUGCAAGUCCCGAGCAUGUAUCAAAGAAUGGCUAGUGUCAGAUGGCAGGUCCUGUGGGUGUACUACUAAUGCUCCCUAGUCGAAGCUGUGUGCAGGCCCAGGUCCCAGUCGAGGCUACCUCCUGGGGGCCAUUGCCAAAUCUUUCUUAGGUAUGCUGGUCUGCAACCUCGACAAAUCGAGCCUACAUCCUAGGGGGGCAGGUACCAAGGAGGAAUUGGUUACACCACACACAAUAGGGACAAGUGGUACACAGAUAAGUGCUAAUACUGCUUGAUAAAUAGUACUCGAAAGUACCUUAGGAAAAGCAAAAGUAUUACAUCCGCUUUCAAGCGGAGUCCUAGCUCCAUCUCUACUCUGCAGGAAUGGACUACUCUGCACCAGCAGGGUCGCGUUGGAAGCUAGCUCUGGGCAGCCUCACCAACGGCGGCGACCACCUCUACUCCAAGCGGCUCGCCAGCGGAGGCGGCCACCUCUGCACCAACGGCUCGCCAGCGGCGGUGGCCACCUUUGCACCGGUGGCUUGCCGGCGACGGUGGCCACCUCAGCGCGUGCGAAGAGGUCCUCGCCCCCGUCCUCCUACGGGGGUGAGGACAAGACCAUCCAAGAACGCGGCCACCACCUCCACAGCGUAUGACAUCUUGUACAACCCCCCAGGCAGCGUCGGAGCAGUGCGGCCAGCGGCGCAGGGGACACCACGGAUGCGGUGGACCUGCGCACGACGCGACCGUCGCCCGUGCGGUGGACGGAAAGCCAUGCCCCGCUUGGCGGUGGGAGGCAGCGUUGGAGGCGGCACCAAAACCAUCAAAGCCAAAGAGAUGGAGCCGCAGCACGGCUCGCUUCCCACCCCAAAGAGUUGGGGGUGCGUGGGAUGGAGCCGUGGCUCAACCCGCUGUCCACCUUCACGAGGCUGGUGAUCAUCCUUCCCUCCGAAUGCUAGAGGAAGAAGCGGGAAGGAGCGUCGCCUCCACGGACAUCCCGCGGAGGUAGGCGACGAUGGCUGCCUGAAGGAUGAAGCAGGACACCACAGGUAGAGGCUGGGGGCUAAGCCCCUCCAGCAGCUGCACGAAGAAAGAUGGGAUCGGCAGAGCCAACCCGCUGGGGAGUUUGGAAACAAAGAACACAAACUCUUUGACAGCAAGGUCGCCGAGAGGAGAGACACCAGCACAAGUCCUCCCGGCAAAUGCCAGCACACCCCAUCCGAGCGGGUUGCGCGCCAAGUUGAGUGCCACCUCGGGCUGGAAGCGCUCGCAAGGGUCUAGCAAGGCCAUGGUGACUACGGCAACGCGAAGCAGAGACCUUGAAGGAAAAGGGGCACGGAGAGCUCGGAGGCGAAGGGACGCCGUGAGAGGGAGAGAAGCAAGGCAUGGCUGCUAUUCGAGGGAUGAACCCCUCUUUAAAGGCAGGCUCCCCUGCUCCCGCCUCGAAGCGCCGUGAGAAGCCUCCCCCAAUGCACACCGAGGUAUCCAUCCCAUGACACGGGGGCCCAGUCCCACAAGUCAUAUAGCUGGCGCGCUGGCCUUCGAGUGCGAAGAAGGCGAACCGCCGCACAGGAAGCGUGCUACCGCCCCGCGGUAGUACGCCUCCUUCAUCUUCACUACGACCAACGGUCAGGAAGGCGAACCACAGCACAAGGAGCAUGCUACCGCCCCGCGGUAGUGCGCCCCCUCGUCUUUGCUGCAACCUGCGGUCCAACCUCUGGCAUGGGGGCCCAGGCCCACAUGUCACGCACCCGGCGUGCUGGUUUCUGGGUGCAGAGAAGUCGCACCGCCACUCGCACCAAUACCGCGUCUCCUCAGGGCCGUCGCAGAAGACUGAGAAGAUAAAUUUUCAAAACCAAUGCAGCAACUCGAGGCACCCCGUGCAUGGCCCAACAAAGACAUUAAGUGCGGAGGUCACGGGUCAGCCAGCCGCAGGGACAGGCAUGGCAGUCGGCGUGACCAUGGGCGGACCGGCAGUAAUUGCAUCAACGGGCGCGCAGGGGCAGCGAGCCAAUCACCAAUAAAACUUUGGCCCCACCUGCAGGCCCGUAUCCUCCCCUGAGGCGGGCCCAGGGGCCACUGUCGGUACCCUGAAUCAGGAGUACCCCUUACUGAAGUAUGAAGACACGGAGCCCGUACGAUGUUCUCUAGUCGCACGAUGAACAAUACCCGACCCCACCACGUGGGCGGCUCGGGGGCACCACGUGGUGAGAAAAGAUGAUACAUCCCAGGAUGUAUAAGUUGGACCGGACCACCGCAAGAAAGCACCGAACCCCUGUACGCACAACCCGGACCCUCGAUUACGUCCCGGGACUCCCAAGCAAGCAUGUCGGAUCCCUUGGAUGGGGUCCAGAUCCCUCUGAGUAAGGUUCGGGCCACAACGAGGUCCCAGAACAGGGGAGACCCUGGCAUAAGCAAGGGUCUGGUACUGACACGUGUCCAGGCCUUAUCCUGUGCGCUUGCGCUCCCUGCUCAAGCGGAGACCCGAUGCUGCCACGUGGCUUGUUGUCCGUGACAUAAGCCAGCGGGUGGAGCCUGACGUAAGGCCUCUAGGCCGCGCGGUCUCUGCAUUUAUUGCGGAGAGGACGCACCGCCUGUCCACCCUGCUGACAGGCGAUGUGCCCCCUCAGCAUUUAAUGCAUCCUGUCCACUCCGCUGGCAGGCGGCGCUAGGGUCAUCUUGCAGACAGCGCACCUGUCCAGUCCAUUGUCAAACAGUGCGCCCAUGCUGUGCGGCGCACUGUGCUCAUCAUCCCUUAUACGAUAAGCUUCUCCUGCAUGCCGAUGCUACACAGAUCUCGGAUGUCAGGGCGCAAGAAGAUUGCUCCAACAGCAAACAUUAGUAGCUCCAAGUACUACAUCCGUUAUGUUCCUGGGCCCACAUGUCGGGGCUCAGUACCCUUGUACAUGCCCCCUUAGCUAUAAAAGGGGAGGCAUGCAACUUUACGGAGGGGCUCUCUUAGACAAAAAACUGAGACUCUCACCUCUCAAGCCUCCACAGCAAUCCAACACACAGUGGAGUAGGGUAUUACGCUCCGACGGCCCGAACCACUCUAAAUCCUCGCGUGUUCGUGUGCUCGGUGUUCGUGUCCUACCUUUUUCAUAAACUAGUUUUCCCUAAAUUGACAUACUAUAUACAAAAUCUAUCCAAAUUUUGAAGAUCAAAUUUGUUCCAUUUAAUUAUUCAUGACUUAUAUCUUGGUAUUGCUUUUUUGUCAUCAGAAUAUAUUUUGAACACAGUAAAAGUUAUACACGAUUUUUUUAGACAAUACUAAAGUAAGUUGUAAUCAAGAACACUUGACGUGUGAACCAAUUGCCACUUUUAGAUAUAAUCAUUGUAAUUUUGGUCAUCCUAUGUGUGUGCAUUCAUCUAUGCAUUCUAGGAUUUCAAUUAGUCUCAAUCUUGUAGUAUUUGUUCCUUGAUUGUCAAAUCACUUCUCAUCUAACUACUAUGCUUGUUUAACCAUCAGAACAUAACUACAACAAAAUCCAUUUAUAAAGGUUUUGAUAGCAAACUUUACAUAUUCAUAUCAUGUUAAGGUUGUCACAUGUUUAAAGGUGAAGAGAUCAUGCAUGUCAUUCCACGUAGAUGAAAAGAAUUCCUAUAUAAAAUGACACAUUUUCUUGUAGGUAGUGGAAAGUAUCUUUCCAGCAAAGACUAUAAUCCGAUAAAGUUGAUAACUAAAUGUCGAAAAAGAGUAGAUGCCAUAUCAUCUAUACCUUAUCUGUUGUUUGGAAAAAAAGACUAACUACAAAAAAUAUAUAUGAGAUCUCACUUGUAUAAAUAGCUCCCAAAUCAGUAGUUAACCAUCACCCAUAAUAUUUUGAACAUUCAGAAACACACCUAGCGAAGCGCACUAGCAACGACAUAACAACAAUGGCUACUAAGAUAUUAUCCCUCCUUGCGCUUCUUGCCCUUUUUGUUAGCGCAACAAAUGCGUUCAUUAUUCCACAAUGCUCACUUGCUCCUAGUGCCAUUAUUCCACAGUUCCUCCCACCAGUUAGUUCAAUGGGCUUCGAACAUCCAGCUGUGCAAGCCUACAGGCUACAACAAGCGCUUGCGGCGAGCGUCUUACAACAACCAAUUGCCCAAUUACAACAACAAUCCUUGGCACAUCUAACAAUACAAACCAUCGCAAUGCAACAGCAACAGCAACAACAGUUCCUACUAGCACUGAGCCACCUAGCCAUGGUGAACCCUGGCGCCGACUUGUAACAACAACUGCUUGCAUCCAACCCACUUGCUCUGGCAAACGCAGUUGCAAACCAGCAACAACAACAGCUGCAACAGUUUCUGCCAGCGCUCAGUCAACUAGCCAUGGUGAACCCUGCCGCCGACCUACAACAGCAACAACUGCUUUCAUCUAGCUCGCUCGCUGUGGCCAAUGCACCUACAUACCUGCAACAACAAUUGUUGCAACAGAUUGUACCAGCUCUGACUCAGCUAGCUGUGGCAAACCCUGCUGCCUACUUGCAACAGCUGCUUCCAUUCAACCAACUGACUGUGUCGAACUCUGCUGCGUACCUACAACAGCGACAGCAGUUACUUAAUCCACUGGCAGUGGCUAACCCAUUGGUCGUUGCCGUCCUACAGCAGCAACAUUUGCUGCCAUACAACCAGUUCUCUUUGAUGAACCCUGUCUUGUCGAGGCAGCAACCCAUCGUUGGAGGUGCCAUCUUUUAGAUUACAUAUGAGAUGUACUCGAUAAUGGUGCCCUCAUACCGGCAUGUGUUUUCUAGAAAUAAUCAAUAUAUUGAUUGAGAUUUAUCUCGAUAUAUUUCUCAACUAUGUUCAUCAUAUAAAUAAUUGAAAACAUCAAAUCGUAAUUAUAAACUCAUCCUUGGUCAAUACAUAGACAAUACGAUAUUACUUCAACAUCCCAAUGAUGUCAUAGCCCAACCUCUUGAAUGUUACUGUUUUAAUGUGUGAGGGUAUAUUUAUAAGAUUGACGUGACUAUUUGUGCUUUUUUUGAGUACAUACAUAUAUGGUAUGUUGAUUUGAUAUAGUGAUGGACACAUGCUUUGACCAUGAAUAUUCAAAUCAGUUGUACUUGCACGAAGCAAAACAUAAUAUAAGUUUAGGAGUAGACUUAUAACUAUGUCCAAACAUGCUCACACAAAUUCAUACCACAUUAUAAUUUUUUGGUAAAUAUUCCACACAUGUAUGUUUUAUAAGAACCCAAAUUUUGCAGACAAAUGCUGAAUUGUAGACAUGUAGAAUUCUUUGAAGCUCGUGAACUUAACAACACCAAGGUCAUUAAAUCAACUCGACCCUAUGAGUAACAAUUUCGAUAUUGCAAACACCAAAUUAUAGAACUUAUUGGCUGAAAAAUUAUGAGCAAUGUGAAGUUUAAAUUAUUAUACCAUAAAUAUAUCAAAGAAUUUUUUUGAGGAACGUAAAAAUUGCAUGGAAUGGGCUGCCCAACGUGCUAGCUCACUUCUAUGCUAGGUAGCAUUACCAAAGAUGGGAAUGUUGCUGAUGAACGCAAAACCCACUCAAAUCAUAUAUAUAUUUGGGAUGUUUAGUUGUAAAAGUGAAGACCUAAGAUAAAAGUACCAAUUGUCCAAUGACAUUCAAUUAUUUUGUUCGGGGAGCACUUUGUGUGUCAUUUGGACUCGUAUCUUAGUCCAAUAGAUUGCAUUUUCCUUCAAUGUGUAGAAUCCGACAAAGUGCUUGUUCCAAAAUUGUAAAUCUAACUAAAUUAUAAAGCUUGUUACUAAUUUGAUGGUUUAUUAGGUGUAGCUCAUAAAACUAGAACCAACAUAGCCUGCACUCACAUGUCAUAGAAAAUAGGAGUAUCCAAGCACAAUUUGUGUGAGCAUACAUGACACAAAUUAUAUAUAGACUGAUAUAAUUAAUUCCUUGAAAAAAGAAAAAGGAAACAAUAAAAUGUUUUUUGAUAUUGCAGGAUAUCUCCUUUAGCUAAUGAGGAGUACUAAAAAGAUGUUGCACUUUUGGGUGGCGAGAAUUCGUCAAUCAUAACUUUGACAUAAUUUUAAUCCGGAUCACAUAUAUAUCAUCAUAUAUUAAUUAUUAAAUUAAUAUGGUUCCAUCAUCGUAUUAUUAAUUCAAUCCGAUAUAACCAUCAGAUCUUAAUUAUUAAAUUAAUCUGGAGCGUACAUUAUAUUAUCAAACCAAAUCAACCCGACAUAACCAUCUAAUGUUCCGCUAUGCACAAUAAGCGCAUGGUCUGGGGCUUAAUCAUCCGGAAUAACCAUCCGAUCUUCUGGUAAGCAUAGUAAGCGUAUGGUUCACGACUUUGUCAUUCGGAAUAACCAUUAGAUUUUCCGGUAUGCACUGAAAGCAAAUGAUCCGGGGUUUUGGUAGGUGUAACGUUGUUAGGUGAAUGCGUAUGUUGGCUGCUGUUGCACGUGCGAACUGCUGUGUGGAAGCUGCUGGGUCCUCCUCUAUUAUGUGUGGCUUGUGGCGGGCUUGGACUGCUCUCAUGGCUUCGUCACUUGGAACUGCUCGUCCGUCCGGUCCUGCGUGCAUCUCUCUCUCCUAGCUGGAGGCGUGGUGGCCUGGUGGUUUCUCUGUGUUUUUCUUUUUACGACGGCUUCUCUUGUUGGCUAGGGUUGGCAUCAGGGGCCCGGUCAGCUAUGCUCCCUCAGCUUUUAUAGGCAGCGAACCACCGCAGGCAGAGCAGAGAUAAAGAUUCCAACUGCAUCCAUCUACAAACAAGGAUCUCGACGGAAGAGAUAAAAGCAUGCAGCACAAUUGCCGCUGCCCUACUGCAGCCUUGACUCUCGUCAAUUGGAUGACCAAAAGAUGCCACCGUCUAAGCUCUUUUCUUUGUGCAGCUGCCUGUUUGUCACCAACACAAAAUUUGUAGGUGCAUGUUUGUCACCAAUUAUCCUCUACCACAAAGAACUACAAUAGUGGUGGAGGAUCCGAUCCGGCACAGAUCCACUAUAAUGCAUAGUUGGUGAUGCAUGCCUAAUGGUGGUUGUUUAGUGUUAGUUUGGGCAUGUUGGAACUAAGCAAUUGUCGAUGCCAUACACUAGAAGUGAAGAAUGUUGUUAGCGUUAGGAGUAGAGGUGUCAAUGGGGACCGAUGCCCGUUAAGCCAUGGAGAAUUUCUCUAUUAGAUUUAGGGUAUGGGAAGAUUUUAAUUUCCAUUUGCUGAAUUUAGGUAUACAUCUAUUUGAAUCAACAGUUACAGUUCAACAAAAACUCUUUCCGCUCUAGUUUGUUUCGUGUCCUACCUUUUUCCUAAACUAGUUUUCCCUAAAUUGACAUACUCUCUAGAAAAUAUAUCCAAAUUUUGAAGAUCAAAUAUGUUCCAUUGAAUUAUUCAUGACAUAUAUCUUGGUAUUGCUUUUUUGUCAUCAGAAUAUAUUUUGAACUCAGUAAAAGUUAUACACGAUUUUUUUAGACAAUACUAAAGCAAGUUGUAAUCAAGAACAUUUGAGGUGUGCGCCAAUUUCCACAUUUAGAUAUAAUCAUUCUAAUUUUGGUCAUCCUAUGUAUGUGCAUUCAUCUAUGCAUUCUAGGAUUUCAAUUAGUCUCAAUCUUGUAGUAUUUGUUCCUUCAUUGUCAAAUCACUUCUCAUCUAACUACUAUGCUUGUUUAACCAUCAGAACAUAACUACAACAAUAUCCAUUUAUAAAGGUUUUGAUAGCAAACUUUACAUAUUCAUAUCAUGUUAAGGUUGUCACAUGUGUAAAGGUGAAGAGAUCAUGCAUGUCAUUCCACGUAGAUGAAAAGAAUUCCUAUAUAAAAUGACACCUUUUCUUGUAGGUAGUGGAAAGUAUCUUUCCAGCAAAGACCAUAUAAUCCGAUAAAGUUGAUAACUAAAUGUCGAAAUAGAGUAGAUGCCAUAUCAUCUAUACCUUAUCUGUUGUUUGGAAAAAGACUAAAUCCAAAAAUAUAUAUAUAAGAUCUCACUUGUAUAAAUAGCUCCCAAAUUAGUAGUUAACCAUCACCCAUAAUAUUUUGAGCAUUCAGAAACACACCUAGCGAAGCGCACUAGCAACGACCUAACAACAAUGGCUUCCAAGACAUUAUCCCUCCUUGCGCUUCUUGCCCUUUUUGUGAGUGCAACAAAUGCGUUCAUUAUUCCACAAUGCUCACUUGCUCCGAGUGCCAUUAUUCCACAGUUCCUCCCUCCAGUUACUUCAAUGGGCUUCGAACACCCAGCUGUGCAAGCCUAUAGGCUACAACAAGCGCUUGCGGCGAGCGUCUUAGAACAACCAAUUGCCCAAUUACAACAACAAUCCUUAGCACAUCUAACCAUACAAACCAUCGCAACGCAGCAGCAACAAGCACUGAGCCACCUAGCCGUGGUGAACCCUAUCGCCUACUUGCAACAACAGCUGCUUGCAUCCAACCCACUUGCUUUGGCAAACGUAGCUGCAUACCAACAACAACAACAGUUGCAACAGUUUCUGCCAGCGCUCAGUCAACUAGCCAUGGUGAACCCUAUCGCCUACCUACAACAGCAACAACUUCUUUCAUCUAGCCCGCUCGCUAUGGGCAAUGCACCUACAUACCUGCAACAACAGUUGUUGCAACAACAGUUGCUGCAACAAAUUGUACCAGCUCUUACUCAGCUAGCUGUGGCAAACCCUGCUGCCUACUUGCAACAACUACUUCCAUUCAACCAACUGACUGUGUCGAACUCUGCUGCGUACCUACAACAGCGACAACAGUUACUUAAUCCACUAGCGGUGGCUAACCCAUUGGUCGCUGCCUUCCUACAGCAGCAACAAUUGCUGCCAUACAACCAGUUCUCUUUGAUGAACCCUGCCUUGUCGUGGCAGCAACCCAUCGUUGGUGGUGCCAUCUUUUAGAUUACAUAUGAGAUGUACUCGAUAAUGGUGCCCUCAUAGCGGCAUGUGUUUCCUAAAAAUAAUCAAUAUAUUGAUUGAGAUUUAUCUCGAUAUAUUUCUGAACUAUGUUCAUCAUAUAAAUAAUUGAAAACAUCAUAUCAUAAUUAUAAACUUAUGCUUGGUCAAUACAUAGACAAUACAAUAUUACUUCAUCAUCCCAAUGAUGUCCAAGCCAAACCUCUUGAAUGUUACUGUUUGGGUGUGUGCGGGUGUAUUUAUAAGAUAGAUGUGACUAUUUGCGCUUUUUGUUGAGUACACACAUAUAUGGUAUGUUGAUUUGAUAUAGUGAUGGACACAUGCUUUGACCAUGAAUAUUCAAAUCAGUUGUACUUGCACGAAGCAAAACAUAAUAUUAGUUUAGGAGUAAACUUAUAACUGCGUCCAAACAUGCUCACACAAAUUCAUACCACAUUAUAUUUUUUUGGUAAGUAUUCCACACAUGUAUUUUUUACAAGAACCCAAAUUUUGCACACAAAUGUAGCAUUCUAGAUAUGUAUAAUUCUUUGAAGCCCGUGAACUUAACAACAGCAAGGUCAUUAAAUCAAUUGGACCCUAUGAGUAAUAAUUUCGAUACGCAAACACCAAAUUAUGGAACUUAUUGGCUGAAAAAAUUAUGAUCAAUGUAAAGUUUAAAUUAUUAUACCAAAAAUAUAUCAAAGAACUUUUUUGAGGAACGUAAAAAUUGCAUGGAAUGGGCUGUCUAACGUGCUAGCUCACUUUUAUGCUAGGUAGCAUUACUAAAGAUGGGAAUGUUGCUGAUGAACGCCAAACCCACUCAAAUAAUAUUUAUAUUUGGGUUGUUUAGUUGUAAAAGUGAAGAUCCAAGAUUAAAAUACCAAUUGGCCAUUGUCAUUCGAUUGUUUUGUUUAGAGAGCACUUGGUGCGUCAUUUGGACUCGUAUCUUAGUCCAAUAGAUUGCAUUUUCCUUCAAUGUGUAGAAUCCGACAAAGUGCAUGUUCUAAAAUUGUAAAUCUAACUAAAUUAGAAAGCUUGUUACUAAUUCGAUGGUUUAUUAGUUGUAGCUCAUAAAACUAGAACCAACAUAGCCUGCACUCACAUGUCAUAGAAAAUAGGAGUAUCCAAGCACAAUUUGUGUGAGCAUCCAUGACACAAAUCAUAUAUAGACUGAUACAAUUAAUUCCUUCAAAAAUAAAAAAGGAAAAAAUAAAGUGUUUUUGGAUACUGUAGAAUAUCGAGCGAAGGGUGACGUCUUCACCUUCGCCCCAACAUUUGCCCUCCGAGGGACCAGUUCGACUAAGUCAUUUGGUGCCGAAGGUGUCGCUAGAUGGUGGAGACGCUGCCCUCGCUCGAAGUGGUUCCGCGGGGGUUUUUGACAUGACCGUUGAUUGACGCCACACUGUUGGAUUGCUGGCUUCCCGAAGCGUCGCGCCCUGUGUAUAUAAAGGGGGUGGGGGCGGCGGGGAUUGAAAUUUACCUUUCUGCGCGCCGCGAAAACCCUAGCCUCCCUGUCAAACUGCUCGCUUGCUCGUCUGCCCUCCUUGCUCCUGUUCGUCGGAGAACUGGCCCACGUGAAGCAGACUGUGCGCCGCCGUCGACGGUACGUAGCCAUGCCGUCUUCCUCCUCGUCUGCUGCGACCACGCCGACGGCCAAGGCGACUUCCGAAGAUCUCUCGGGCACUGUGGCGGCGGCGGAAUUACGACCGGGUGAUACGGUGGAAUUCGGUGUUUCGCGGAUGUCGUUGGUCCGCGUGCAAGAUAUGCAACAGUUGGUGUAUUUUGGCGGCGGGGUUGGUCGAGUCCCGGGGCCAGAGGAGGUCCCCGAGCUCGAGGGCGAAUUGGUUGUUUUUGAGGCAUUUUUCAUCGCCGGCCUUCGCCUGCCUGCGCAUCGUUUUAUGUCGGAGGUUCUGCAGAAGUUCAAAGUCCAGGUUCAUUAGCUCACACCGAACGCCGUGGUGGCGUUGGCGAAGUAUGUCUGGGCAACGACGUCGUAUGGCGGUCAGCCUUCGGUGGAAGUCUUCGCCAAGCAAUACGGUCUGCAUUGGCAGAAGAGAAAAAAUGGACAUAAGAUUGCUCAAUUCGGAUCAUGCACUUUCACGCCGAAGUCCGGGAAGACUUCGAUGGAAGUGGUGGAGCUGGUCCCCUGUGCCCAAAAUAAGUGGGGCAACUGGUGGGACUACUGGUUCUAUGUUUCGGAGGCUGAAGUCGAAGAUCACCCAGGGCUCCCUGCCGCCAUUAUGUGCUCUCAUUACUAUGUGGCAUACCCGCCAUUUGAAGUGGCGGAGGAUGAUGAAAAUGAAAGGGCCCUUCGGAUCGCUGCCCGCACGAGUAGUGGGCGCGAUCUAGUUGAGGAAUUCAUAGGGUAUGGGGUGUGGCCCUUGGCGCAUGGAUGGGCGUUGGGCAAAGUAUGCCCUCGCGAGAUGCCCUCCCUGGGCGGGCGGAAGGUGCGAAGUCCGCUUUUUGCUUUGGAUGUGCGAGGGCGGGAUCCUGCCGCGGUUGUGCAUGAGGCGGAGGAUGGGGCGGUGAGAAUUGUUGGGUGCUACGUGCCGAAGACGGAGGCCCAGCGGAGUUGGGAUAUACGUGGAUCCAACGACCGCCUGAAUAGGGUCUUCGAGUUGAAUUGUUUGCCGUAUGGCGGUUAUCCCGGGGAAGACGUUGUCGACCACAGCGGGAAAAAACCAGCGGCUGUGACUGAAGACGACCCCGCGUCGGAGGCCGCCCCAGCCACUAAGAAGAGGAAGCUAGGUACUGCGGUGGGAGAACUGGGGGUCUCCGAUAGUUUUGCUAUGGAGUUGAUGGGGACAUGCGUGGCCCCCGGGGGAAGGAUGUCUUCGCCCGAGCUCCGGGAGUCUUCGGCGCGGAUGUUGGAGGUUACCGGGGGUCGAUGGCCCAAAAACGUUCCUAUCCCCCGCGCGGCUGGCGAAGACUUCUUUACAUCUCGCAUGGCUCGUGACUUGAGAGUGUUUCCUUACAGACGGAAUAUUGCUGUUGUUGUGUCGAUAGUGAUGAACAAGGAUCACCAGGAUGCUGCGCAGAAGCGUCGGGCGGUCAUCAGGCUCCCCGACGCUAGGCGUGAAGCGAAGAGAGCGCGAGGGAGUGCGAAGGCUAUCGUCCCCGGCGGUAGCCAGCCGAUGCUGGCUGCAAAGCCGGCCGCGCCUGGAUCCAGCAAGGUGCCGGAGAGCGGGAAGGCGGUCGGCGCCGGUGGAACCAAGUCUGCCCCGGACGGAGCUGUGAAGGUCCGGGAGCUGCCUUCGACGGGGAAACGCGUUGCCGACUUCGGCAUGAAUAUUAGCGUGGACGACUAUCUCGUUGGUAAGCAUUUUUUUUAUUCUGACCGGUGAUACGUUGCAGGGUCGAGUGAGGGGCAACUGGUUGUUGUCCCACCUGUGGUGGCAACCACGGCGUCAACCGCGGUGCUUGGGGUGAAGGGUGGCGCUUUCAGCGCUGGCGGCGAGAUUUCGGCGGCCACUGCCGUCAAGGACGAAGCGGGCACUAUGUCCCGCCGGCUGAGGGAGGCGUCGCAGCAGCUAAGUCAAGUAAGUUGAGCUGGACUUCGGUGUUUCCUGCUUUCAUGGGGAUUGUGGUCUCAUGUGUGUCUGUUAGGCGGCCGACUUCGCCGACCGCGUGGCGUCGGGUGCCCUUACUGCAGAUGUGUCUGCCGAAGUCGAGAGACUUUGGGCGCAGCACGCGGACGCCGUCCGGGAGAAGUCGGCUGCGGAGAGCAAGAGCCACAGGCUGGCGGAGAAGGUGGCCGCCCUGGAGGGCGAGAGGAUGGACCUCCGGCGCCAGUUGGUGGAGGAAAGGAGGGAGGCCAACCAGGCCAUCGCCAAGGUGCAGGCGGCGCAGGCGGAGGCCAAAUUGGCGUGGGCGGAGGGGAGUCUCGCCAGCCAACGCGCCGAGGAAUGGGAGGUGCGGUUCAACGCUCUGCACGCCCGCAUGGAGAGGGCCGAGGCCUCUACGCGCUCGGAAGUUGAGCGAACGCGCAAACAGCUCGUGGACUCAUACCGGGAGCUGGGUGCGCGGACUGCUGACUUCGAGGUGCCCGACCGAGAAGCGAGCCUUCGCUUCCUCGAGUGGCUGCAAGAGGAAUUGCUGGCACUCCCGACCAUCGUGGAGGGAUUCAUGUCUUUUGCCUCCCUCGUCACCUGCGAAGGGGCCAUGAAUGCGUUGUCCCGCAAGGGAUGCAAUCACUAUGAGGGCUUCGACCGGUCCGAUGAAGACUUUGGGCGCGAAAUUUUUAAGGUCGAAGACCCUGUGGUGAAGGAUUCUGCGGGGGCCCUCUUCGAUCGGAUGUGGGGUCCUCAUGGCCGGGAGGCGGUCAAGGAGCGGUCUGAUCGGGCGAGAGAGCAUGUAAGUCUUGUCUGUUGUUUCGUGUGAUUGAAUGUGGGUACGUGUGGGUUUGCUGAAUGAGUGUGUUGUUGCUGCAGAUGGCGCAUGCUGAGGAUGUCAAAGACCUCGGAGGUCUAAACAGUGCGCCGCCCGAGGCUGCGGAGGGCAGACCGGUGCUGCCCUCGGAUGCUGGUGAACGCCCAUCGGACGUGCCCGUGCCUGCUGCUGUCGGCGAAGACCCUGUGUCGGCCCCUGUGCCGACAGUCAAAGGCGCUCAUGAGGUGGUGGCGGAGCCGGUGGUCGAAGGCCCUACGGCCGCGGAGGCGCCCGCGCAGGUGGCUAAGUAGUUGAAUAGGUUUAGGGGGGUUGUAAAUUUUGUCUACGUGUUACUGAACCUCGGUUGCUGCGCAGGUUCAGGGUUUUGGGCCUGCGUACGCAACCGCUACUGAAAGUGCUAAUUUUGUGGCGGCUUCGACCGUGGUUGCGGAAAAUGAUUCGGGUGAUUCUGUGUCUAAGUUUUUUGAGUCUGAUGAUUCUGUGAGUUCGGUGGUGUGGACUGAAGAGUCUUCGGAUGAGGACUUGGAUUAUUUUGCGGCAUUGGAUGUGGCUGCGGCGGAGGCUUCGCCGUGUGUGAUGGGUGCUGAGGUUCUCGGUCCGAGCGCUGGGCGUAGGCGGCAAAGGGCGGUGGCGAAGCGCGGAGUGAGUGAGGUGGAGGGUGGUCGUCUUCGUGUGGACAGGGCUGGUAGGCGGGAAUUGUUGUCCUUGCCAGAUGGGGCGAGUGUAGGUGAGGGGGAAUUGCGAAGUCUGUUUGAGGGUGAGGAGCUGAGGAUAAUGUUGUUUAACUAUAGGGAGAUGGGUAUCAUCCCGAAGGUUGAACCAUUGUAAGGUGUGAUGCCCUCGUUGUACGUAUGUAACUAUAAUUUGUAUGAUGAGGCUGUGUGCCUUAGCUGAUACGGUCGUGCCCGUAGGGGACUUGUGCACUAGGUCUAGCACGUUUAUUAUGUCGGUCCAGCUGCACCCUCAGGCGACUUUUGCACGGAUAGUCUUGGGAGGAAGACUUCGAUUUUUCGCACUUGUUGUGCUAGUCCGGCUGCACCCUUAGGCGACUUUUGCACGGAUAGUCUUUUGGAGAAGACUUCGAUUUUGCGCACUUGUUGUGCUAGUCUGGCUGCACACUUAGGCGACUUUUGCAUAGACAAUAUUUUGGGGAAGACUGGUUUUGCGCACUUUUUGUGCUAGUCCGGCUGCACCAUUAGGCGACUUUUGCACGGAUAGUCUUUUGGGGAAGACAUGUUUUGCGCACUUGUUGUGCUAGUCCGGCUGCGCCCUUAGGCGACUUUUGCGCGGACUGUCGCACGUGAGGGUAGCCAGCGCUGCCCCUCGCGGUGACUUCGUGUUUGUCGAAUGUCGAAGACUGUCGAUGCGGUCUUCUUUCGACGUUGUAAUUUUUUGCGGGGGAUUUUUUGCGUGUAUAUUACAUGGCUCCACCUCAUUAAAAACCUCACCCCCCGGUAGGAAAAGAGUGCGGGCCGGAAUAAAAACUGUCUUGCGAAUUACAAGGGUGAGCUGGCCCUAAGGAGUCAAACAAAAAACUUGCGAAGAUUGUCAAUGUUCCAAGAAUGUUCAAAGUCUUCGCCAGAUGGCGUUGUGAGCCUGUACGCGCUGGGGGACGCCUUCGUCUUGACAAUGAAAGGGCCCUCCCAUUUUUGCUCUAGCCUGCCCCGGGACUCUGUCCGAGUUGUCCGGACGAGUACGAGGUCUCCUUCGCUAAAUUCCCUCGGGAUGACUGUGUGGUCGCGCCAUGCUUUUGUUUGAGCUUGGUAUUUGUUUAGAGCCUGUAGGGAGAAGACACGGUCUCCGUCGAUGAGGUCCUUCGAAGUAGGUUCGUCUACGUCGGGGACGGCUGACGCGACUGUCCGCAGUGACCCAUGUUUUAUUUCUUGCGGAGUCAUGGCCUCCGAUCCAUAUAGAAGGCGGAAAGGGGUGAACCCAGUCGCCCUGAACUCAGUCGUGUUCAGCGCCCAGACCGCUUUAGGUAACAGGUCUGCCCACUUUCCUUUUUUGUCGUCGAGGAGCAUUUUCUUGAUGGCUGUGAAAAUUUUACCGUUGGCGCGUUCCACAACUCCGUUGGAUUGCGGGUGGUACACUGAGGCGAAGGCAAGCUUGGUGCCGAUGGAGAAGCAGAAAUCCUUGAAGUCUUGGCUGUCAAAUUGCUUGCCAUUGUCAGCUGUGAGUUCGGACGGGACUCCGAAGCGGCAAACAAUGUUUUGCCAGAAGAAUUUCUGGGCAGUCUUCGAUGUUAUCGUGGAUACAGUCCUCGCCUCGAUCCAUUUGGUAAAAUACUCGACGGCGACGAAGGUCAACUUGAGGUUCCCCUAGGCCGUGGGUAGGGGCCCGACAAUGUCCAGGCCCCAGCGCUGAAGAGGCCACGUGUGGGCGAUUAGCUUUGUGAAUUGCGAAGGGCUUCCCGAGCGUGGAGAAAAUUUCUGGCAGGCUUCGCAGGACCUUGUGACCCGAUUUGCAGCGCAGAUCAUGGCGGGCCAGUAGAAACCUUGAUGGAUCACCUUUGCGGCUAGGGCCCUGGGCCCUGCGUGAGAGCCGCAAGUCCCGCUGUGGACUUCGCGCAGAAUUUGGACGCCUUCGGUCUCGGUGACACAUUUAAGCAUGGGUUGACUGACCCCCUUUUUGUAAAGUUGGCCUUCGAUUAGUGCGAAGUCCCGGCUUCGAUGUUUGAGGCACUUGGCCUCAUUGAUAUCGGUUGGAUGAUAGUACCCCUGCAGGAAUAGGGUUAUUGGUGCCCGCCAGUCUUCGGUCAUGAUGAGGUUGACUAUGCGGUGGCCCUCGCUGUCAUUGGUUAUUUGGAGCCCCUCUGGGCUGCGGAAGGCUGGCGUGCCAAUGACAUGGUAGAAUACAUCGGAGGGCAGGGCCUCGCCUCUGGCGGCUGCCUUGGCUAAUGCGUCGGCCUCCUCAUUCUUGGCUCGGUCCACAUGCUGUAAGGUAAAACCUUUGAAUUGUCUUUCGAGACUGCGGAUAGUCGCGAGGUACUGCAUAAGUGUGGGGUCCUUCGUUGUGUAGUCUUUCUCGACUUGGCCGACGACUAUCUUGGAGUCUGUUCUGAUGAUGCAGGUGGUGACACCAAGUGGCCUUAGCUUGCGAAGGCCGAGAAUGAUAGCUUCGUAUUCUGCUAUAUUGUUAGUGCAUCUGUCAGACUCCAAAGCAAAGCUGAGGCGUGCUGCGUAUCUGUGCUUGACCCCUGUGGGUGACGUAAUGACUACAGCGGUGCCUGCCCCCGCAUGGCACCAUGCGUCGUCGCAAUGGAUUGUCCAUACCCUCUCCGCGGACGUGUCCGGCUGUGUUAUUGGCCCAGUCCAGUCGACGACGAAGUCUGCCAGGACUUGUGACUUGAUGGCUGUCCUGGGUUUGAAUGUGAUGUGUUAGCCGGAGAGUUCGGCUGCCCAUUUGGCAAUCCGGACUGAUGCCUUCGGGUUUCUAAACAAUUCGCUGAGUCCCCUAUCUGAGGUGACCCGGACCUUGAACGCUUCAAAAUAAUGGCGCAAUUUGCACGAAGCCAUAACAACUGCGUAGGCGAUUUUUUCCAGUUCCGUCAUAUUGCAUUUUGAUGUCGUGAGUACUUCGGAGACGUAAUAAACUGGACAUUGCCUGAACGAGCCCUCUCUAUUCCGCUCUUAGACCAGUGAUGCGCUGACCGCAUGCGGCGAAGCUGCGAUGUAGAGCAACAGUGGUAGCGAGGGGUCUGGGCUUGUAAGAAUCGCCAAUUCUGACAGAUACUGCUUCAAAGAGGCGAAGGCCGCCGCCUGCUCUGGUCCCCAUGCGAAGUCUUUUGCGCCGCGGAGUGUUUUGAGGAAAGGGAGACUUCGCUCUGCGGAUUUGGAGAUGAAUCUGUUGAGGGCGUCCAAUCUGCCUAUUAGUCGUUGGACGUCUCUGGCUGACUGUGGGGCGUCAUGUUGAUGAUGUCCUGAAUUUUGGUUGGAUUGGCUUCGAUCCCAUGGUGCGACACCGUGUAGCCCAAUAUUUUCCCCUAGCGAACGCCGAAGACGCACUUUUCGGGGUUUAGGCGAAGUCGUGCGUCCCGCAUGUUCGCAAAUGUUUCGGUGAGGUCAGCCAGAUGGUCUUCCUUGCUUCUGCUGGCGACGACGAUGUCGUCCACAUACGUAAAUAUGUUUCUGCCGACUUGGCCCUCGAGCACUGUUUUGGUGAGCCGAGAGAAAGUGGACCCGGCGUUCUUAAGUCCCUCCGGCAUUCUGAUGGUAUUAUUAAUUCAAUCUGAUAUAACCAUCAGAUCUUAAGUAUUUAAUUAAUCUAGAGCGUACAUUAGAUUAUCAAACCAAAUCAACCUGACAUAACCAUCGAAUGUUCCGCUAUGCACCUUAAGCGCAUGGUCUGGGGCUUAAUCAUCCGAAUAACCAUCCGAUCUUCUGGUAAGCAUAGUAAGCGUAUGGUUCACGACUUCGUCAUCCGGAAUAACCAUCAGAUUUUCCAGUAAGCACUGAAAGCAAAUGAUCCGGGGUUUUGUAGGGGAAAUGUUGUUAGGUGAAUGCGGAUGCUGGCUGAUGUUGCACGUGCGAACUGUUGUGUGGAAGCUGCUAGGUCCUCCUCUAUUGUGCGUGGCUUGUGGCGGGCUUGGACUUCUCUCAUGGCUUUGGCGCUUGGAACUGUUCGUCCGUUCGGUCCUGCGUGCAUCUCUCUCUCCUGGCUGGAGGCGUGGUGGCCUGGUGGCUUCUCUGUGUUUUUCUUUUUACGACAGCUUCUCGUGUUGGCUAGGGUUGGUGUCAGGGGCCCGGUCAACUAUGCUCCCUCAGCUUUUAUAGGCAGAGCACCACAGCAGGCAGAGCAGAGAUAAAGAUUCCAACUGCAUCCAUCUACAAACAAGGCUCUCAGCGGAAGGGAUAAAAGCAUGCAGCGCAAUUGCUGCUACCGUGCUGCAGCCUUGACUCUCGUCAAUUGGAUGACCAAAAGAUGCCACCGUCUAAAGUCUUUUCUUUGUGCAGCUGCCUGUUUGUCACCAACACAAAAUUGUAGGUGCCUGUUUGUCACCAAUUAUCCUCUACCACAAAGAACUACAAUAGUGAUGGAGGAUCCGAUCCUGCAUAGAUCCACGAUAAUGCAUAGUGGGUGAUGCAUGCCUAAUGGUGGUUGUUUAGUGUUAGUUUUGGCAUGUUGGAACUAAGCAAUUGUCGAUGCCAUACGCUAGAAGUGAAGAAUGUUGUUAGCGUUAGGAGUAGAGGUGUCAAUGGGGUCUGAUACCCGUUAAGCCAUGGAGAAUUUCUCUAUUAGAUUUAGGGUAUGGGAAGAUUUUACUUUCCAUUUGUUGAAGUUAGGUAUACAUCUAUUUGAAUCAACAGUUACAGUUCAAUAGAAACUUCUUCCGCUCUAGUUUGUUGCGUGUCCUACCUUUUUCCUAAACUAGUUUUCCCUAAAUUGACAUACUCUCUAGAAAAUCUAUCCAAAUUUUGAAGAUCAAAUAUGUUCGAUUGAAUUAUUCAUGACAUAUAUCUUGGUAUUGCUUUUUUGUCAUCAGAAUAUAUUUUGAACUCAGUAAAAGUUAUACACGAUUUUUUUUAGACAAUACUAAAGCAAGUUGUAAUCAAGAACACUUGAGGUGUGCGCCAAUUGCCACAUUUAGAUAUAAUCAUUCUAAUUUUGGUCGUCCUAUGUGUGUGCAUUCAUCUAUGCAUUCUAGGAUUUCAAUUAGUUUCAAUCUUGUAGUAUUGGUUCCUUCAUUGUCAAAUCACUUCUCAUCUAACUACUAUGCUUGUUUAACCAUCAGAACAUAACUACAACAAUAUCCAUUUAUAAACGUUUUGAUAGCAAACUUUACAUAUUCAUAUCAUGUUAAGGUUGUCACAUGUGUAAAGGUGAAGAGAUCAUGCAUGUCAUUCCACGUAGAUGAAAAGAAUUCCUAUAUAAAAUGACACCUUUUCUUGUAGGUAGUGGAAAGUAUCUUUCCAGCAAAUACCAUAUAAUCCGAUAAAGCGGAUAACUAAAUGUCGAAAUCGAGUAGAUGCCAUAUCAUCUAUACCUUAUCUGUUGUUUGGAAAAAAGACAAAAUCCAAAAAAUAUAUUUGAGACCUCACCUGUAUAAAUAGCUCCCAAAUCAGUAGUUAAUCCAUCACCCAUAAUAUUUUGAGCAUUCAGAAACACACCAAGCGAAGCUACCUAGCAACGACUUAACAACAAUGGCUACCAAGAUAUUAGCCCUCCUUGCGCUUCUUGCCCUUUUUGUGAGCGCAACAAAUGCGUUCAUUAUUCCACAAUGCUCACUUGCUCCUAGUGCCAUUAUACCACAGUUCCUCCGACCAGUUACUUCAAUGGGCUUCGAACACCUAGCUGUGCAAGCCUACAAGCUACAACAAGCGCUUGCGGCGAGCGUCUUACAACAACCAAUUAACCAAUUGCAACAACAAUCCUUGGCACAUCUAACCAUACAAACCAUCGCAACACAACAGCAACAACAGUUCCUACCAGCACUGAGCCAACUAGAUGUGGUGAACCCUGUCGCCUACUUGCAACAGCAGGUGCUUGCAUCCAACCCACUUGCUCUGGCAAACGUAGCUGCAUACCAACAACAACAACAAUUGCAACAGUUUCUGCCAGCGCUCAGUCAACUAGCCAUGGUGAACCCUGCCGCCUACCUACAACAGCAACAACUGCUUUCAUCUAGCCCUCUCGUUGUGGGUAAUGCACCUACAUACCUGCAACAACAAUUGCUGCAACAGAUUGUACCAGCUCUGACUCAGCUAGCUGUGGCAAACCCUGCUGCCUACUUGCAACAGCUGCUUCCAUUCAACCAACUGACUGUGUCGAACUCUGCUGCGUAC